UUAAAAUUACGCACUCCUAUUAGUUGAGUGGUGUGAACUUGACGCGAGAUUUGGAGGAUUCUAACCGCGCCCGCAGUCAUAACCUUUCACGUCACUCUGUCCAUGUUAACUAUAAUGUCAUGUUGUGGAUAAUAAUAUAUAAACCCUACCUAGCUGACUGUGAGGUAACUCCAGCUGGAGGCAGCAGAGACCGUGGGUUUUGGGGCUAUAGUAAUCCGAAUGAAGGGUAUAGUAACCCAACGAAGAAGAAGACUUCCACCGAAUGGGCUCUAAUUAGGAAGACAGGGAGGCUGGAAUGGGAAAACGCGACAAACAAACGACUAUUCAUCAGAAACUGGUCAAAGUUAUUGUGUCUGAGGUCAAUGCACUGCAGGAUGGAUAGAAACGUGUGACAACGCGGUGCAGGAUGGGUAGUAACCGGAAUUCAUCUGUUAUAAAACGGUGUGAGAAAUAUCCGCAAACGAGUCUACCACUGAACAUCGUCUUUAUUUAAGUGGAUGGCGGUACCCUGGCCCUGGGUAUAGGUUUGACUGGCUUAGUACUGUGUAGAUGGGCGUUCCGGUCGACUGAUAGUAGGCAUAGUAAACCAUUUCGUGGUAAAGCCAUUAGUUGUAUCACUGGUGUUAGUUAAACUCAGUUUCUCUUCGCAUUUUUUUUUUUUGUCGUUUUCUAUCAAUUUUUGAAUAUGUACUUUUUUCUUCUUUGAAAACUAAACAAAGCACGUCUCAAAUUUA
This is a long non-coding RNA of Saccoglossus kowalevskii, 734 nucleotides long. RefSeq lists it as uncharacterized. NCBI's taxonomy places the organism in Eukaryota, Metazoa, Hemichordata, Enteropneusta, Harrimaniidae. The record is from RefSeq and is a predicted model, not a curated record.